GUCGAGAAUCUUUCACAAUGGGGGCAACCCUGAUGGAGCGACGCCGCGUGGAGGAUAAGGUCUUCGGAUUGUAAACUCCUGUCAUGCGUGAACAAGGUUGCUUGGUUAAUACCUGGGCAAAUUGAUGGUAACGCAAGAGGAAGAGACGGCUAACUCUGUGCCAGCAGCCGCGGUAAUACAGAGGUCUCAAGCGUUGUUCGGAAUCACUGGGCGUAAAGUGUGCGUAGGUGGCGUGGUAAGUCAGAUGUGAAAGCCCGGGGCUCAACCUCGGAACUGCAUCCGAUACUGCCAUGCUAGAGUACUGGAGAGGUGACUAGAAUUCUCGGUGUAGCAGUGAAAUGCGUAGAUAUCGAGAGGAAUACCAAAGGCGUAGGCAGGUCACUGGACAGUUACUGACACUGAGGCACGAAGGCCAGGGGAGCGAACGGGAUUAGAAACCCGAGUAGUCC
Molecule: ribosomal RNA, 449 nt
Filed under: uncultured bacterium
Lineage: Bacteria
Description: partial 16S ribosomal RNA
Rfam family: Bacterial small subunit ribosomal RNA
Source: RNAcentral